GCCAAACAAGAUCCGGUGAUUUUUGCAGCUGGCACUGACUAUUCGUUUUUGUUUUCCUGGAGCUGUGUGGAAGAUCUGCUGUUUGCUGAGGUUGAGGACUACAGUACUGUAGAGAGCUAGAAUUACUUCUAUCAUGUGUAACAUCUCACAUUGAUGUACUUUGGUUAUUUUCCACAAGGUGAUGCAGAGAACAGUUUGCAUUUUGGCUCUUACCCAGAAGCUGCCUCUUUGUUGGAUAAGUGACUCAUUAUAGAGAACUCAGUCAUCGGUAAAGUGGCUACUGAGUGGUGCUCUACGACAUGUGGGAAGAUUUCAAGUUAUUUUCUCCCUUCUGCAUUUUUCAUUUGGAGUUUUAGAAGACAGCUCAGAAUUUUAGAAGACAGCUCUCAAGUACCUGUUGGGCUUCCUCUGGUGACUGAAUAGUGAUCCCAACAAUUGUAGACAUGUGGCACUGAAUUAGUGAACUCAUCAGACACAAAGAAGACAGGAUUAAUUAUUCACCACAUGCCAUCAACUACAAGAUGUGUGACUGCUGCCUGUCUCUCUCAUUCUCUCCUUUUCAAUCUCUGAGAUUCACAAGUAGAAGUUAGCUUAUUUAUGCAAUUUACCUUAAUUCACCUGUUAAUAAACCUAUAGCAGAAAAAAUCUUUAUUUAUUUUUUAUUAGUUGCCUUGCUCCCUUAUCCCUUUUUAAAAUUAAUCAUGAUGACUGCAGCAUAGUUUUCUAACAUAGGCCAGGAUAUCAGCUUGUUUCUGUUUCGAUUAAGGUAACACCUCACUUGUAAACCUAUUAUUGCAGCCAAUAAGAAAAAUAACUUCCAGGCAUGUUAAAUGCUUAUCACCUAACUUCUUGUCACACAAAGUAGUUGUCAAUUCUACAAUGAACUUGGCUGCAGCCAUCUUUCUCUUCAUUCUAGAUUAUCACAUAGAACAGAAGGAGGAGGCUUGCUCAUGUGCUUCACUAGUCAAAAUAAUCUUCUGUCCCAUGGGAACCAAGGUCAUCUACUGCUCCCACAAUCAGGGGCUAGGCAUUGUAUAAGAAAUCCCAGCAAAUGAAUAUAUUGGGGAAUGUAGUGAUGGCAUAGUUUUGUGGGUGGGACAUUAUACUUUGUAACUGGAAAAUUUUUAGUGGGAAUUUCAGACUUUGUUUCACUUUUAAUUGUGCCGAUACUUUGUAACUAAUAAACACAUUCUUUGAGGAAUUUCCAA
Molecule: long non-coding RNA, 1208 nt
Organism: Crotalus tigris (Tiger rattlesnake)
Lineage: Eukaryota; Metazoa; Chordata; Lepidosauria; Squamata; Viperidae
Exons: 3
Source: RefSeq, a predicted model, not a curated record